This 449-nucleotide unclassified non-coding RNA is filed under the name Melitaea cinxia (Glanville fritillary). Its description in RNAcentral is "misc RNA ENSMCXG00005011942.1". Lineage: Eukaryota; Metazoa; Arthropoda; Insecta; Lepidoptera; Nymphalidae. The record is from RNAcentral.
GCGCUUCUAAAAAUUCAGUCGCUCAGCAGAGCUCAAGGAGUGGUCACGUCAGUUUGCCGAGCGACGCUUCCUAAAUAUUCAUCGCGAUCUAGCGUUGGAAAUGGGGAAGCGAAAAGACAAAUAUUUUACGAAAAAGUGUAAAACUUUUUUUAUUUUGAUUGUUUGCUUCCAGAAUUCAUUGACUCUAGGUUAGAUAGACAAAUGGAAAUUAAAGAACCAGACUAUAUUCUUAAUGCAAUAAAGGAAAGAGAAGAGAAGAUAAUAAAAAAAACGAAAAGCAACUAAAGAACAAGAACAAAUAACUAAAAGAAAUAAGAAGUAAAGAAUCACAAAUAACAUACCGAAAAAUAUAAUAUAUAAAAAUGAUAUUGAUAUUAAAUAAAUACUUGAUUUUAAAUCUUGUUUCAUUAUUUAAUAUUUCUACAUAUAUAACCUUCGUUUGAAAAAGU